This 197-nucleotide ribosomal RNA is filed under the name uncultured bacterium. RNAcentral describes it as "partial 16S ribosomal RNA". It matches the Rfam family "Bacterial small subunit ribosomal RNA", at positions 326 to 539 of the family's 1533-position model. The record is from RNAcentral.
ACGCUCGACACCUACGGGGCAGCAGUGGGGAAUAUUGCACAAUGGGGGAAACCCUGAUGCAGCGACGCCGCGUGAGCGAAGAAGUAUCUCGGUAUGUAAAGCUCUAUCAGCAGGGAAGAAGAUGACGGUACCUGACUAAGAAGCACCGGCUAAAUACGUGCCAGCAGCCGCGGUAAUCUGAGGCGGGCUGGCAAGGC